GGGUUGUGAGGUUAAGCGACUAAGCGUACACGGUGGAUGCCCUGGCAGUCAGAGGCGAUGAAGGACGUGCUAAUCUGCGAUAAGCGUCGGUAAGGUGAUAUGAACCGUUAUAACCGGCGAUUUCCGAAUGGGGAAACCCAGUGUGUUUCGACACACUAUCAUUAACUGAAUCCAUAGGUUAAUGAGGCGAACCGGGGGAACUGAAACAUCUAAGUACCCCGAGGAAAAGAAAUCAACCGAGAUUCCCCCAGUAGCGGCGAGCGAACGGGGAGCAGCCCAGAGCCUGAAUCAGUGUGUGUGUUAGUGGAAGCGUCUGGAAAGGCGCGCGAUACAGGGUGACAGCCCCGUACACAAAAAUGCACAUGCUGUGAGCUCGAUGAGUAGGGCGGGACACGUGGUAUCCUGUCUGAAUAUGGGGGGACCAUCCUCCAAGGCUAAAUACUCCUGACUGACCGAUAGUGAACCAGUACCGUGAGGGAAAGGCGAAAAGAACCCCGGCGAGGGGAGUGAAAAAGAACCUGAAACCGUGUACGUACAAGCAGUGGGAGCACGCUUAGGCGUGUGACUGCGUACCUUUUGUAUAAUGGGUCAGCGACUUAUAUUCUGUAGCAAGGUUAACCGAAUAGGGGAGCCGAAGGGAAACCGAGUCUUAACUGGGCGUUAAGUUGCAGGGUAUAGACCCGAAACCCGGUGAUCUAGCCAUGGGCAGGUUGAAGGUUGGGUAACACUAACUGGAGGACCGAACCGACUAAUGUUGAAAAAUUAGCGGAUGACUUGUGGCUGGGGGUGAAAGGCCAAUCAAACCGGGAGAUAGCUGGUUCUCCCCGAAAGCUAUUUAGGUAGCGCCUCGUGAAUUCAUCUCCGGGGGUAGAGCACUGUUUCGGCAAGGGGGUCAUCCCGACUUACCAACCCGAUGCAAACUGCGAAUACCGGAGAAUGUUAUCACGGGAGACACACGGCGGGUGCUAACGUCCGUCGUGAAGAGGGAAACAACCCAGACCGCCAGCUAAGGUCCCAAAGUCAUGGUUAAGUGGGAAACGAUGUGGGAAGGCCCAGACAGCCAGGAUGUUGGCUUAGAAGCAGCCAUCAUUUAAAGAAAGCGUAAUAGCUCACUGGUCGAGUCGGCCUGCGCGGAAGAUGUAACGGGGCUAAACCAUGCACCGAAGCUGCGGCAGCGACACUAUGUGUUGUUGGGUAGGGGAGCGUUCUGUAAGCCUGUGAAGGUGUACUGUGAGGUAUGCUGGAGGUAUCAGAAGUGCGAAUGCUGACAUAAGUAACGAUAAAGCGGGUGAAAAGCCCGCUCGCCGGAAGACCAAGGGUUCCUGUCCAACGUUAAUCGGGGCAGGGUGAGUCGACCCCUAAGGCGAGGCCGAAAGGCGUAGUCGAUGGGAAACAGGUUAAUAUUCCUGUACUUGGUGUUACUGCGAAGGGGGGACGGAGAAGGCUAUGUUGGCCGGGCGACGGUUGUCCCGGUUUAAGCGUGUAGGCUGGUUUUCCAGGCAAAUCCGGAAAAUCAAGGCUGAGGCGUGAUGACGAGGCACUACGGUGCUGAAGCAACAAAUGCCCUGCUUCCAGGAAAAGCCUCUAAGCAUCAGGUAACAUCAAAUCGUACCCCAAACCGACACAGGUGGUCAGGUAGAGAAUACCAAGGCGCUUGAGAGAACUCGGGUGAAGGAACUAGGCAAAAUGGUGCCGUAACUUCGGGAGAAGGCACGCUGAUAUGUAGGUGAAG
Molecule: ribosomal RNA, 1732 nt
Filed under: Escherichia coli
Lineage: Bacteria; Pseudomonadati; Pseudomonadota; Gammaproteobacteria; Enterobacterales; Enterobacteriaceae
Description: partial 23S ribosomal RNA
Rfam family: Bacterial large subunit ribosomal RNA
Source: RNAcentral